This 100-nucleotide ribosomal RNA is filed under the name Bacteroidales bacterium. Lineage: Bacteria; Pseudomonadati; Bacteroidota; Bacteroidia; Bacteroidales. The record is from RNAcentral.
GAUAGCAUAAGGGCUCCACCUCUUCCCAUUCNGAACAGAGAAGUUAAACCUUAUCACGCCGAUGGUACUGCGAAAGCGGGAGAGUAGGUAAUCGCCACCU